GACGAACGCUGGCGGCGUGCUUAACACAUGCAAGUCGAACGGAAAGGCCUGCUUUCCCUUGUGGAUUGCGGGUACUCGAGUGGCGAACGGGUGAGUAACACGUGAGUGAUCUGCCCCCAACUUGGGUAUAAGCCUGGGAAACUGGGUCUAAUUCCCGAUAGGACUGCAGGGUGGUGCCUGUGGUGGAAAACGAUUUUCUAGUGGUUGGGGAUGAGCUCGCGGCCUAUCAGCUUGUUGGUGGGGUAAUGGCCUACCAAGGCGGCGACGGGUAGCCGGGCUGGGGGGGUGGACGGGCACCAUGGGAAUGAAGUACCGGCCCGACACCGACGGGGGGAAGGAGGGGGGGAGAAUGGCAGAAGGGGGGAAGGCUGGAGCAGCGACGCCGGGGGGGGGAUGACGGACUUCGGGUUGUAAACUCCUUUCGACCGCGAGGAAGCCACCUGGUUGGAAGGGUGGUGACGGUAGUGGUAGAAGAAGCACCGGCUAACUACGUG
Molecule: ribosomal RNA, 494 nt
Filed under: uncultured bacterium
Lineage: Bacteria
Description: partial 16S ribosomal RNA
Rfam family: Bacterial small subunit ribosomal RNA
Source: RNAcentral